RNAcentral lists this ribosomal RNA (422 nucleotides) under uncultured bacterium. RNAcentral's name for it is "bacterial SSU rRNA". It matches the Rfam family "Bacterial small subunit ribosomal RNA", at positions 355 to 774 of the family's 1533-position model. The record is from RNAcentral.
UAAGGAAUAUUGGUCAAUGGACGCAAGUCUGAACCAGCCAUGCCGCGUGGAGGAUUAAGGCCCUCUGGGUUGUAAACUCUUUUUAUCUGGGAAGAAAUGUACUUUUUCUUGAGUACUUGACGGUACCAGAGGAAUAAGCACCGGCUAACUCCGUGCCAGCAGCCGCGGUAAUACGGAGGGUGCAAGCGUUAUCCGGAUUCACUGGGUUUAAAGGGUGCGUAGGUGGGCAGGUAAGUCAGUGGUGAAAUCUCCGGGCUUAACCCGGAAACUGCCGUUGAUACUAUUUGUCUUGAAUAUUGUGGAGGUAAGCGGAAUAUGUCAUGUAGCGGUGAAAUGCUUAGAUAUGACAUAGAACACCAAUUGCGAAGGCAGCUUACUACACAAUCAUUGACGCUGAGGCACGAAAGCGUGGGGAUCAAACA